GAUAAUAGGCUGAUAACUCCCAAGAGCUCUUAUUUAUCAGAGUUGUGUGACACCUUGAUUUCGGCUCACCACAUCUUGGGGUUGAAGAAGAUCCCAAAGGUUCGAUUGUUUAUUGAUUCAAGUGGUACGUGAGUUGGACGUAGAACAUGGUGAGACAGUUA
RNAcentral lists this non-coding RNA (161 nucleotides) under Nicotiana sylvestris (wood tobacco). RNAcentral's name for it is "Bacterial large subunit ribosomal RNA". It matches the Rfam family "Bacterial large subunit ribosomal RNA", at positions 2473 to 2632 of the family's 2925-position model. RNAcentral also lists the same sequence under 1 other name. The record is from Rfam by way of RNAcentral. Lineage: Eukaryota; Viridiplantae; Streptophyta; Magnoliopsida; Solanales; Solanaceae.